RNAcentral lists this ribosomal RNA (497 nucleotides) under uncultured bacterium. Its description in RNAcentral is "partial 16S ribosomal RNA". It matches the Rfam family "Bacterial small subunit ribosomal RNA", at positions 28 to 507 of the family's 1533-position model. The record is from RNAcentral.
GAUGAACGCUGGCGGCGUGCCUAAUACAUGCAAGUCGAGCGAACAGACGAGGAGCUUGCUCCUCUGACGUUAGCGGCGGACGGGUGAGUAACACGUGGAUAACCUACCUAUAAGACUGGGAUAACUUCGGGAAACCGGAGCUAAUACCGGAUAAUAUAUUGAACCGCAUGGUUCAAUAGUGAAAGACGGUUUUGCUGUCACUUAUAGAUGGAUCCGCGCCGCAUUAGCUAGUUGGUAAGGUAACGGCUUACCAAGGCAACGAUGCGUAGCCGACCUGAGAGGGUGAUCGGCCACACUGGAACUUAGACACGGUCCAGACGCCUACGGGAGGCAGCAGUAGGGAAUCUGCCGCAAUGGGCGAAAGCCUGACGGAGCAACGCCGCGUGAGUGAUGAAGGUCUUCGGAUCGUAAAACUCUGUUAUUAGGGAAGAACAAAUGUGUAAUUAACCGUGCACGGCUUGACGGUACCUAAUCAGAAAGCCACGGCUAACUACGUG